Molecule: ribosomal RNA, 311 nt
Filed under: Lactobacillus delbrueckii subsp. bulgaricus
Lineage: Bacteria; Bacillati; Bacillota; Bacilli; Lactobacillales; Lactobacillaceae
Description: bacterial SSU rRNA
Rfam family: Bacterial small subunit ribosomal RNA
Source: RNAcentral
UUGAUCCUGGCUCAGGACGAACGCUGGCGGCGUGCCUAAUACAUGCAAGUCGAACGAACUCUGGUAUUGAUUGGUGCUUGCAUCAUGAUUUACAUUUGAGUGAGUGGCGAACUGGUGAGUAACACGUGGGAAACCUGCCCAGAAGCGGGGGAUAACACCUGGAAACAGAUGCUAAUACCGCAUAACAACUUGGACCGCAUGGUCCGAGUUUGAAAGAUGGCUUCGGCUAUCACUUUUGGAUGGUCCCGCGGCGUAUUAGCUAGAUGGUGGGGUAACGGCUCACCAUGGCAAUGAUACGUAGCCGACCUGAG